UUGAUUCGUUUUCUUGGGGGGACUCAGAGGACGACGCGCCCCCCGCGGCGGGCGGGCGGUUUGCAAGAGUUUGGGUGUGUCCUCCGGCGGGCGCCGCGGGGCUCUUGGGGCCCCCCGGGCGGCACCGCCGAGGCAACGGCUGGGUACGGUUCGCAGUGGGUUUUGGGAGUUGGGGCAACUCGGUAAUGAUCCCUCCGCUGGUUCACCAACGGAGA
RNAcentral lists this unclassified non-coding RNA (215 nucleotides) under uncultured fungus. Its description in RNAcentral is "sequence contains ITS1". Lineage: Eukaryota; Fungi. The record is from RNAcentral.